AAGAAGAUACUAAGGGCGCACGGCGGAUGCCUUGGCACAGGAAGUCGAAGAAGGACGCGGCAAGCUGCGAUAAGCUCCGGGGAGGCGCAAACGGCCUUCGAUCCGGAGAUCUCCGAAUGGGGGAACCCAGCAGGGGUCAUGCCCUGCUACCCGCGCCUGAAUGAAAUAGGGCGCGAGGAGGCAACCCGGGGAACUGAAACAUCUAAGUACCCGGAGGAAGAGAAAUCAACCGAGAUUGCGGGAGUAGCGGCGAGCGAAACCGCACCAGCCCAAACCCAUGCACGUGCAAGCUUGAGGGCGUUGCUGCAUGAGGGGUUGUGGGACCGCGCAUUCCAUGGGCCUCAGACCAUGGACGCAGUUACAAAUCCGCGCGGAAGCGGAACGGCCUGGGAAGGCCGGCGGAACAGGGUGAGAGCCCCGUACGCGAAUCCGCGCGGACUGCGAGUGCGGCGCCCGAGUAGCGCCGGGCACGUGAAACCCGGUGCGAACCUGGGGGGACCACCCUCCAAGGCUGAACACUCUCCUGUGACCGAUAGCGAACCAGUACCGUGAGGGAAAGGUGAAAAGCACCCCGAGAGGGGAGUGAAACAGUACCUGAAACCGUGCGCCUACAAGCAGUCGGAGCCCCCGAGCGGGGUGACGGCGUGCCUUUUGUAGAAUGAGCCAGCGAGUUGCGGUAUGCGGCGAGGUUAAGGUUUGAACCGAGCCGCAGUGAAAGCGAGCCUUUAAGAUGGCGUAUGAGUCGCAUGCUGCAGACGCGAAGCCGGGUGAGCUAUCCAUGGGCAGGCUGAAGCGGGGGUAAGACCCCGUGGAGGGCCGAACCCACUUCGGUUGAAAACGGAGGGGAUGACCCGUGGAUAGGGGUGAAAGGCCAAUCAAACCCGGAGAUAUCUCGUUCUCCCCGAAAUAGCUUUAGGGCUAGCCUCGGCCGUUCUCCGACGGCGGUAGAGCACUGGAUCGUCGAGGGGGCUUCACCGCCUACCGACACGAACCAAACUCCGAAUGCCGCCGGAUCAGAGGCCGGGAGUCAGAACAUGUGGGCUAAGCUGUGUGUUCGAGAGGGAAACAGCCCAGACCGCCCGCUAAGGUCCCCAAAUCCAUGCUGAGUGGCAAAGGAUGUGCGUUUGCCUAGACAACCAGGAUGUUGGCUUAGAAGCAGCCAUGCAUUUAAAGAGUGCGUAACAGCUCACUGGUCAAGUGGACAUGCGCCGACAAUUCACGGGGCUAAGCAUGGUACCGAAGCGGCGGACUAAUCUAUAUUAGUGGUAGGGGAGCUUUCCCCGCAGCGGAGAAGCCGAGAGGGCGACCCUCGGUGGAGCGCGGGGAAGUGAGAAUGCUGGCAUGAGUAACGAGAGCGGCGCGAGAAACGCCGCCGCCGUAAGCCUAAGGGUUCCUGGGCAAGGCUAAUCCUCCCAGGGUCAGUCGGGAGCUAAGGCGAGGCCGAGAGGCGUAGCCGAUGCGCAACAGGCGGACAUUCCUGUACCGCCUGCGGACCGCUAUCACCGACGGGGUGACGGAGAAGGGUAGCCGAGCGGGGUUCUGGACGUCCCCGUGAAAGCGCGUAGGGAGCAUCGCAUGGAAAUCAGCGGCGCACGUAUCCUGAGACGCGAGACGAAAGCUUAUGCUGAAGUCGGCGAGCCCAUGCUUCCGAGAAAAACCUCUAGGAAGGGACGCAGGCGCCCGUACCAAAACCGACACAGGUGGGCAGGUAGAGCAUACCGAGGCGAUCGGGAGAACCAUGGUUAAGGAACUCGGCAUACUGACUCCGUAACUUCGGGAGAAGGAGUGCCCCUGGCGGUGACGGGACUAGCUCCCCGAGCGGCCGGGGGUCGCAGCGAAACGGCCCAAGCGACUGUUUAUCAAAAACACAGGACUCUGCAAAGCCGUAAGGCGACGUAUAGGGUCUGACGCCUGCCCGGUGCUGGAAGGUUACGCGGAUGGGUCAGCCGCAAGGCGAAGCUCUGAAGCCAAGCCCC
RNAcentral lists this ribosomal RNA (1976 nucleotides) under Escherichia coli. RNAcentral's name for it is "partial 23S ribosomal RNA". It matches the Rfam family "Bacterial large subunit ribosomal RNA", at positions 1 to 1921 of the family's 2925-position model. The record is from RNAcentral. Lineage: Bacteria; Pseudomonadati; Pseudomonadota; Gammaproteobacteria; Enterobacterales; Enterobacteriaceae.